Molecule: ribosomal RNA, 429 nt
Filed under: bacterium
Lineage: Bacteria
Description: partial 16S ribosomal RNA
Rfam family: Bacterial small subunit ribosomal RNA
Source: RNAcentral
UAGGGAAUCUUCGGCAAUGGGGGCAACCCUGACCGAGCAACGCCGCGUGAGUGAAGAAGGUUUUCGGAUCGUAAAGCUCUGUUGUAAGAGAAGAACGUGUGUGAGAGUGGAAAGUUCACACAGUGAUGGUAACUUACCAGAAAGGGACGGCUAACUACGUGCCAGCAGCCGCGGUAAUACGUAGGUCCCGAGCGUUGUCCGGAUUUAUUGGGCGUAAAGAGAGCGCAGGCGGUUUAAUAAGUCUGAAGUUAAAUGCAGUGGCUUAACCAUUGUUCGCUUUGGAAACUGUUAAACUUGAGUGCAGAAGGGGAGAGUGUAAUUCCAUGUGUAGCGGUGAAAUGCGUAGAUAUAUGGAGGAACACCGGUAGCGAAAGCGGCUCUCUGGUCUGUAACUGACGCUGAGGCUCGAAAGCGUGUGGAGCAAACAGG